UGCCAGCCGCCGCGGUAAUACGUAGGCAGCAAGCGUUGUUCGGAAUUACUGGGCGUAAAGAGAGUGUAGGCUGUCUACCAAGUCUGCUGUGAAAUUUCCCGGCUCAACUGGGAGCACGCAACGGAAACUGGUGGACUCGAGUCCGAGAGAGGAGAGCGGAAUUCCUGGUGUAGCGGUGAAAUGCGUAGAUAUCAGGAGGAACACCGGUGGUGAAGACGGCUCUCUGGAUCGGUACUGACGCUGAGACUCGAAAGCGUGGGUAGCAAACAGGAUUAGAUA
RNAcentral lists this ribosomal RNA (279 nucleotides) under uncultured bacterium. RNAcentral describes it as "partial 16S ribosomal RNA". It matches the Rfam family "Bacterial small subunit ribosomal RNA", at positions 506 to 784 of the family's 1533-position model. The record is from RNAcentral.